GGGCGAAAGCUGAUGCAGCCAUGCCGCGUGUAUGAAGAAGGCUUCGGGUUGUAAAGUACUUUCAGUCGUGAGGAAGGGUGUGUAGUUAAUAGCUGCAUAUCUUGACGUUAGCGACAGAAGAAGCACCGGCUAACUCCGUGCCAGCAGCCGCGGUAAUACGGAGGGUGCGAGCGUUAAUCGGAAUUACUGGGCGUAAAGCGCAUGCAGGUGGUUCAUUAAGUCAGAUGUGAAAGCCCGGGGCUCAACCUCGGAACCGCAUUUGAAACUGGUGAACUAGAGUGCUGUAAGGGGGGUAGAAUUUCAGGUGUAGCGGUGAAAUGCGUAAGAUCUGAAGGAAUACCAGUGGCGAAGGCGGCCCCCUGGACAGACACUGACACUCAGAUGCGAAAGCGUGGGGAGCAAACAGGAUUAGAUACCCUGGUAGUCCACGCCGUAAACGAUGUCUACUUGGAGGUUGUGGCCUUGAGCCGUGGCUUUCGGAGCUAACGCGUUAAGUAGACCGCCUGGGGAGUACGGUCGCAAGAUUAAAACUCAAAUGAAUUGACGGGGGCCCGCACAAGCGGUGGAGCAAUGUGGUUUAAUUCGAUGCACGCGAAGAACUUACUACUCUUGACAUCUACGAAUCGCUAGAGAUAGCUUAGUGCUUCGGGACUGU
RNAcentral lists this ribosomal RNA (655 nucleotides) under Vibrio sp. UST050418-042. RNAcentral describes it as "bacterial SSU rRNA". It matches the Rfam family "Bacterial small subunit ribosomal RNA", at positions 373 to 1030 of the family's 1533-position model. The record is from RNAcentral. Lineage: Bacteria; Pseudomonadati; Pseudomonadota; Gammaproteobacteria; Vibrionales; Vibrionaceae.